UACGUAGGGUGCGAGCGUUAAUCGGAAUUACUGGGCGUAAAGCGUGCGCAGGCGGCUAUGCAAGACAGAUGUGAAAUCCCCGGGCUCAACCUGGGAACUGCAUUUGUGACUGCAUAGCUAGAGUACGGUAGAGGGGGAUGGAAUUCCGCGUGUAGCAGUGAAAUGCGUAGAUAUGCGGAGGAACACCGAUGGCGAAGGCAAUCCCCUGGACCUGUACUGACGCUCAUGCACGAAAGCGUGGGGAGCAAACAGG
Molecule: ribosomal RNA, 253 nt
Filed under: uncultured bacterium
Lineage: Bacteria
Description: partial 16S ribosomal RNA
Rfam family: Bacterial small subunit ribosomal RNA
Source: RNAcentral